UACAGAGGGUGCAAGCGUUGCUCGGAUUUACUGGGCGUAAAGCGUACGCAGACGGUCUAGCAAGUCGGGAGUGAAAGCCCUGGGCUCAACCUGGGAACUGCUUUCGAUACUACUAGUACUUGAGUUUGGGAGAGGAAAGCGGAAUUCCUGGUGUAGAGGUGAAAUUCGUAGAUAUCAGGAGGAACACCAGCGGCGAAGGCGGCUUUCUGGCCCAAUACUGACGUUCAGGUACGAAAGCGUGGGUAGCAAACAGG
RNAcentral lists this ribosomal RNA (254 nucleotides) under uncultured bacterium. RNAcentral's name for it is "partial 16S ribosomal RNA". It matches the Rfam family "Bacterial small subunit ribosomal RNA", at positions 524 to 776 of the family's 1533-position model. The record is from RNAcentral.